RNAcentral lists this long non-coding RNA (366 nucleotides) under Sus scrofa (pig). RNAcentral's name for it is "lncRNA (ENSSSCG00055028873.1)". Lineage: Eukaryota; Metazoa; Chordata; Mammalia; Artiodactyla; Suidae. The record is from RNAcentral.
GCUGGGGGCCCGGGCCACUGGCCUGCCAGACUGCCCCACACCUGCCACCCUCUGAUGGACUGGGAAACUGAGGCCCGCAAAGAUCAAGUCCUCGCCAAGAGUUACAUACGUGGACAGAGUCCUGGAACCCCAGCUCCGCUGCAGAGGAGAGGAGGCUGCAGCCCACAACCUCGGGGUCUGGAGUUUUCUGCGAGCUGGGAGGCAGCAUUGCUGGAGAGUCUUUACUCUCCGGUGAGAAGAGGCUGGCCGAGAACGCGCCCAGACCUGCCUCCGCCCCCAGAGCCCCGGGCCGCUGAGGGCCUGCGCCUUUAAGUGCUGGCGGCAGGGGGCGGGGUCUUGUCGGCCCCGCCCUGCCCGCCCCUCCCC